CUAGGAAUCUUGCGCAAUGGGGGAAACCCUGACGCAGCAACGCCGCGUGAGUGAAGAAGGCCUUCGGGUUGUAAAGCUCUUUUAGCAGGGACGAACGCAAUGACGGUACCUGCAGAAAAAGCACCGGCUAACCCUGUGCCAGCAGCCGCGGUAAUACAGGGGGUGCAAGCGUUAUUCGGAAUUACUGGGCGUAAAGGGCGCGUAGGCGGCCGUGUAAGUCUGAUGUGAAAUCCCCGGGGUCAACUCGGGAAUUGCAUUGGAAACUGCACGGCUCGAGUAUAGGAGAGGAGAGCGGAAUUCCUGGUGUAGAGGUGAAAUUCGUAGAUAUCAGGAGGAACACCGGUGGCGAAGGCGGCUCUCUGGACUAUUACUGACGCUGAGGCGCGAAAGCGUGGGGAGCAAACAGG
Molecule: ribosomal RNA, 407 nt
Filed under: uncultured bacterium
Lineage: Bacteria
Description: bacterial SSU rRNA
Rfam family: Bacterial small subunit ribosomal RNA
Source: RNAcentral